UGGGGAAUCUUGCGCAAUGGGCGAAAGCCUGCCGCAGCCAUGCCGCGUGAAUGAUGAAGGUCUUAGGAUUGUAAAAUUCUUUCACCGGGGACGAUAAUGACGGUACCCGGAGAAGAAGCCCCGGCUAACUUCGUGCCAGCAGCCGCGGUAAUACGAAGGGGGCUAGCGUUGCUCGGAAUUACUGGGCGUAAAGGGAGCGUAGGCGGACAUUUAAGUCAGGGGUGAAAUCCCGGGGCUCAACCUCGGAAUUGCCUUUGAUACUGGGUGUCUUGAGUAUGAGAGAGGUGUGUGGAGCUCCGAGUGUAGAGGUGAAAUUCGUAGAUAUUCGGAAGAACACCAGUGGCGAAGGCGACACACUGGCUCAUUACUGACGCUGAGGCUCGAAAGCGUGGGGAGCAAACAGG
Molecule: ribosomal RNA, 404 nt
Filed under: Actinomycetes bacterium
Lineage: Bacteria; Bacillati; Actinomycetota; Actinomycetes
Description: Actinobacteria bacterium partial 16S ribosomal RNA
Rfam family: Bacterial small subunit ribosomal RNA
Source: RNAcentral